UACGUAGGGUGCAAGCGUUAAUCGGAAUUACUGGGCGUAAAGCGUGCGCAGGCGGUCGCGUAAGACAGAUGUGAAAUCCUCGGGCUUAACCUGAGAAUCGCAUUUGUGACUGCACGGCUGGAGUGCGGCAGAGGGGGAUGGAAUUCCGCGUGUAGCAGUGAAAUGCGUAGAUAUGCGGAGGAACACCGAUGGCGAAGGCAAUCCCCUGGGCCUGCACUGACGCUCAUGCACGAAAGCGUGGGGAGCAAACAGG
This 253-nucleotide ribosomal RNA is filed under the name uncultured bacterium. RNAcentral's name for it is "partial 16S ribosomal RNA". It matches the Rfam family "Bacterial small subunit ribosomal RNA", at positions 524 to 776 of the family's 1533-position model. The record is from RNAcentral.